UACGUAGGGUGCAAGCGUUGUCCGGAAUUAUUAGGCGUAAAGAGCUCGUAGGCGGUCUGUUACGUCGGCUGUGAAAUCCCGGGGCUCAACUCCGGAACUGCAGUCGAUACGGGCAGACUCGAGUAUGGUAGGGGAGACUGGAACUCCUGGUGUAGCGGUGAAAUGCGCAGAUAUCAGGAAGAACACCGGUGGCGAAGGCGGGUCUCUGGGCCAUUCCUGACGCUGAGACGCGAAAGCUAGGGGAGCGAACAGG
RNAcentral lists this ribosomal RNA (253 nucleotides) under uncultured bacterium. RNAcentral's name for it is "partial 16S ribosomal RNA". It matches the Rfam family "Bacterial small subunit ribosomal RNA", at positions 524 to 776 of the family's 1533-position model. The record is from RNAcentral.